RNAcentral lists this ribosomal RNA (782 nucleotides) under uncultured Glomus. Its description in RNAcentral is "SSU rRNA". It matches the Rfam family "Eukaryotic small subunit ribosomal RNA", at positions 325 to 1108 of the family's 1831-position model. The record is from RNAcentral. Lineage: Eukaryota; Fungi; Glomeromycota; Glomeromycetes; Glomerales; Glomeraceae.
AUGGUAGGAUAGAGGCCUACCAUGGUGGUAACGGGUAACGGGGUGUUAGGGCACGACACCGGAGAGGGAGCCUGAGAAACGGCUACCACAUCCAAGGAAGGCAGCAGGCGCGCAAAUUACCCAAUCCCGACACGGGGAGGUAGUGACAAUAAAUAACAAUACAGGGUUCUUUGAAUCUUGUAAUUGGAAUGAGUACAAUUUAAAUCUCUUAACGAGGAACAAUUGGAGGGCAAGUCUGGUGCCAGCAGCCGCGGUAAUUCCAGCUCCAAUAGCGUAUAUUAAAGUUGUUGCAGUUAAAAAGCUCGUAGUUGAAUUUCGGGAUCAAUACGUCGGUCGUGCUUUCGGGUACGUACUGGCGUCAUUGGUUUCUCCUUUCUGACGAACCAUGAUGUCAUUAAUUUGGUGUUAUGGGGAGUUAGGACUGUUACUUUGAAAAAAUUAGAGUGUUUAAAGCAGGCAUUAGCUUGAAUACAUUAGCAUGGAAUAAUGAAAUAGGACGUUCGAUCCUAUUUUGUUGGUUUCUAGGAUCAACGUAAUGAUUAAUAGGGAUAGUUGGGGGCAUUAGUAUUCAAUUGUCAGAGGUGAAAUUCUUGGAUUUAUUGAAGACUAACUACUGCGAAAGCAUUUGCCAAGGAUGUUUUCAUUAAUCAAGAACGAAAGUUAGGGGAUCGAAGACGAUCAGAUACCGUCGUAGUCUUAACCAUAAACUAUGCCGACUAGGGAUCGGAUGAUGUUAAUUUUUUAAUGACUCAUUCGGCGCCUUACGGGAAACCAAAGUGUUU